Molecule: long non-coding RNA, 345 nt
Filed under: Homo sapiens (human)
Lineage: Eukaryota; Metazoa; Chordata; Mammalia; Primates; Hominidae
Description: PREDICTED lncRNA (TCONS_00048841)
Source: RNAcentral
UUGUGAGGUGGUGGCUGAAAGUAUCCUCUCCCCAGUUCUGCUGGAGUGAAGUGGUGUGAUCUUGGCUCACUGCAACCUCUCCCUGCCAGGUUCAAGCGAUUCUCCUGCCUCAGCCUCCUGAGUAGAUGGGAUUACAGGCGCCCGCCACCAUGCUCGGCUAAUUUUUUUAUUUUUAGUAGAGAUGGGGUUUCACCAUGUUGGCCAGUCUGGUCUCGAACUCAUGAUCCACCCCCCUUGGCCUCCCAAAGUGCUAGGAUUACAGGCGUAAGUUGCUGCACCCGGCCCAAAAUGUUUUGAAAAUUCACAUAUUGGUAAUCUUCAUUUCUGAGAAUUACAACAGAGAAA